This 376-nucleotide long non-coding RNA is filed under the name Physcomitrium patens. Its description in RNAcentral is "long non-coding RNA (PPAT_LNC000742)". The record is from RNAcentral. Lineage: Eukaryota; Viridiplantae; Streptophyta; Bryopsida; Funariales; Funariaceae.
UAUGAUAGUAGUUUGAUGCACCAUAAGAGUUACUAAAUUGACUCAUUUAGAUAUUUAGUAUAAAAAAAUACAUAUUAUAUUUAAAUCAUAAGUUUUGUUCAUUAAAGUCGUUGCACUAGUAUUGAGUAAAAGUAGCAUUGUUGUCUAUCUUGUUUAACGACAAAAAGGUAAUAAUUGUUUUUGAUCAAAUUUCCUUUUUGUAAUAGUUCCUUCCUUCCUUGUUUUGGCAUUAGUCAUCAAUAGCCAUGAUUUUGGCUUGUUUCAAUGGCAUGUAAUCUGGGUUGUUUUGUACUUAUAAUAAGAAUUCAAUAUUGUUCAACCAAAUAGUAUUUUAUUUGAUAGCAUUCAUUGAUUAAGGUUAAUUGGUUAUCUAUAG